Molecule: ribosomal RNA, 119 nt
Filed under: Octopus vulgaris (common octopus)
Lineage: Eukaryota; Metazoa; Mollusca; Cephalopoda; Octopoda; Octopodidae
Also listed under: 1 other name
Source: RNAcentral
GCUUACGGCCAUAUCACGUUUAAAGCACCGGUUCUCGUCUGAUCACCGCAGUUAAGCAACGUCGAGCCUAGUCAGUACUUAGAUGGGUGACCGCUUGGGAAACCUAGGUGCAGUAAGCA